UUUCUCUUAACAAUCAAAAUUAGCGAACAGGUGACUUGCUGCUACUCACUGUAAUGACACGUGUCCUAAACUUCCCUCCAAAUGUGCUGGGUCCUCCUAUUCUGCUUGGUCCCCAAGCAACAAAAGCCUCACACGCUCUAAUGCCCGCCGUGUCCUACACGCUUCAACUGCAUUGGAUGCUUGUCCUCAAGAUAUUUGAUUGGCUGUUGGAGGUAUAUACUGCAGAAUUUAAAUUUA
Molecule: long non-coding RNA, 237 nt
Filed under: Gossypium barbadense (sea-island cotton)
Lineage: Eukaryota; Viridiplantae; Streptophyta; Magnoliopsida; Malvales; Malvaceae
Description: long non-coding RNA (GBAR_LNC017875)
Source: RNAcentral